This 1096-nucleotide long non-coding RNA is filed under the name Homo sapiens (human). Its description in RNAcentral is "long non-coding RNA NONHSAT192914.1". Lineage: Eukaryota; Metazoa; Chordata; Mammalia; Primates; Hominidae. The record is from RNAcentral.
AGGGCGCAGCAGCUGCUCCCUGAACACUUUCUGACCCAACAGUCCCCCAGCGCCGGACGCGCCGCGCCCUGGCGGCUCUAGGGACCCCCCCCGCGCCUGCACUUAGCCCCGCGCCCGAGUCCACAGACAAACGAAUUUAAAGGAGCAACCGAGGAGGCACCUGCGAAAGAAAGCCCACACACAGGUGAAUUUAAAGGAGCAGCCCUGGUGUCACCUAUCAGUAAAAGAAUGUUAGAACGACUUUCCAAGUUUGAAGUUGGAGAUGCUGAAAAUGUUGCUUCAUAUGAACUAUUUGGAGUUUUCCUCGUCUUACUGGAUGUCACUCUCGUCCUUGCCGACCUAAUUUUCACUGACAGCAAACUUUAUAUUCCUUUGGAGUAUCGUUCUAUUUCUCUAGCUAUUGCCUUAUUUUUUCUCAUGGAUGUUCUUCUUCGAGUAUUUGUAGAAGGAGACUGUACUGGUCAGAGAAAGACAUCAGCAGGAGAGCCAGAGAUUCCUCCUCCUCUCCAUCAUCACCAUCACCAUUAUUCUCAUCACCAUCACCGUCACCGUCAUCAUCAUCAUCACCAUCAUGGACUUCAAAGAAGUUCAAAGAAUUUCCUCCUCUGGCCAGAGUGAAUCCUGUUCUGUGGAAGCAGGAGGCUGGGUGGGAAGCCCUGUGGAGGCUCCACCCGUGUUUGGGUUCUGGGCAGGGAUCUGGGGACAGGGGAGGCCUAAUGCUUAUUGCAGAAAUUCUCUGCCUGGGAAGUCAGGAUCACUCCUUGGAGGAGGCAGCCUGUCCUCUGAGCUUUCAGGAAAGGAACUGGUUGUGUGGUUCCCUGUAAGCUCUGGAGAUGGGGCGGGCAGUAGGGGGAGGAGCACAGCAGUGUGGAUGUAUUAAUACUUAGUGCUGGCCGGGUGCGGUGGCUUACGCCUGUAAUUCCAGCAGUUUAGGAGGCCAAGGCAGGCAGAUCACCUGAGGUCAGGAGUUCAACACCAGCUGAGGCAGGAGAAUCGCUUGAACCCAGGAAGCAGAGGUUGCAGUGAGCCAAGAUCACGACAUUGCACUCCAGCCCUCCAGCCCAGGCAACAAGAGUGAAACUCCGUUCCCCCCCGC